AUGAUGGCCUUUCGUGAUGUGCUUGAGGUAUGUCAACUAGUGGAUAUCGGUUUCUCAAGUGUACCGUUUACAUAUGAUAAUAAGAGAAGCGGGACAGCAAACGUGCGUGUACGUUUGGAUCGUGCUGUCGCCUCUAGUGCUUGGCGCAAUAUGUUCGCUUUCUCCUCGGUGUCCCAUGUGGUGUCACCCUGUUCGGAUCAUGUGGCUCUUAUUCUUAAGGGGACUCCGGACCCUGGGCCGAGUGCAGGAAGACGACACCAGUACGAAAUAUUUUGGGAGCGUAGUGGUGAGCUUCCCGAGUUGGUGCAGCAAGCAUGGGAUUCGGCGGGUGCAAUCGGAAACCUUGAACAGUUACAGUCAGCCCUGAAAAAGACCAUGUCUACUUUGGGCAUAUGGAGUAGGAAAAAGUUUGAUAACAUAACCCGUGAGCUAGCCAAGUCCAGGUCACAACUUGAGGAAUUGGUGAAUAUGAACGCUAAUCGUCAAGAUAUACGGCGAGUGACCGACAGAAUGGACGAGUUACUAUAUCAGGAAGAGAUGUUAUGGCUCCAGAGGUCGAGAAUAAAUUGGCUAAAAGAAGGAGACAGGAACACGAAAUACUUUCAGAGCAAGGCGGUUUGGAGAGCUAGAAAAAAUAAAAUUCGCGAACUUGUGGACGACAAUGGGGUUGCCCAUUCAGAUGAGGCGACAAUGAGACAAAUGGCUAAUGAGUACUUCCAAGGAAUGUACACGGCUGAUCCGAACCUCAUACACACUCCGGUUCUAAGUCUUUUUGAUGCAUUGAUAACUGAUGAUGAUGAUAAUGCUAAGCUAUGUGCUCCUUUCAGUGAUGACGAAAUUUCGGAUGCCCUGUUUCAGAUCGGUCCGUUGAAGGCCCCGGGCCCGGAUGGUUUUCCAGCACGUUUUUUUUCAGCGUAA
RNAcentral lists this ribosomal RNA (918 nucleotides) under Triticum aestivum (bread wheat). RNAcentral's name for it is "partial small subunit ribosomal RNA". The record is from RNAcentral. Lineage: Eukaryota; Viridiplantae; Streptophyta; Magnoliopsida; Poales; Poaceae.